This 894-nucleotide ribosomal RNA is filed under the name uncultured bacterium. RNAcentral describes it as "bacterial SSU rRNA". It matches the Rfam family "Bacterial small subunit ribosomal RNA", at positions 56 to 919 of the family's 1533-position model. The record is from RNAcentral.
UGCAUGUCGAACGAAGAGCGAUGGAAGCUUGCUUCUAUCAAUCUUAGUGGCGAACGGGUGAGUAACGCGUAAUCAACCUGCCCUUCAAAGGGGGACAACAGUUGGAAACGACUGCUAAUACCGCAUACGAUCUAACCUCGGCAUCGAGGAUAGAUGAAAGGUGGCCUCUAUUUAUAAGCUAACACUGAAGGAGGGGAUUGCGUCUGAUUAGCUAGUUGGAGGGGUAACGGCCCACCAAGGCGAUGAUCAGUAGCCGGUCUGAGAGGAUGAACGGCCACAUUGGGACUGAGACACGGCCCAAACUCCUACGGGAGGCAGCAGUGGGGAAUCUUCCGCAAUGGACGAAAGUCUGACGGAGCAACGCCGCGUGAGUGAUGACGGCCUUCGGGUUGUAAAGCUCUGUUAAUCGGGACGAAAGGCCUUCUUGCGAAUAGUUAGAAGGAUUGACGGUACCGGAAUAGAAAGCCACGGCUAACUACGUGCCAGCAGCCGCGGUAAUACGUAGGUGGCAAGCGUUGUCCGGAAUUAUUGGGCGUAAAGCGCGCGCAGGCGGAUUGGUCAGUCUGUCUUAAAAGUUCGGGGCUUAACCCCGUGAUGGGAUGGAAACUGCCAAUCUAGAGUAUCGGAGAGGAAAGUGGAAUUCCUAGUGUAGCGGUGAAAUGCGUAGAUAUUAGGAAGAACACCAGUGGCGAAGGCGACUUUCUGGACGAAAGCUGACGCUGAGGCGCGAAAGCCAGGGGAGCGAACGGGAUUAGAUACCCCGGUAGUCCUGGCCGUAAACGAUGGGUACUAGGUGUAGGAGGUAUCGACCCCUUCUGUGCCGGAGUUAACGCAAUAAGUACCCCGCCUGGGGAGUACGACCGCAAGGUUGAAACUCAAAGGAAUUGACGGGGG